RNAcentral lists this ribosomal RNA (515 nucleotides) under Microcystis aeruginosa NIES-88. RNAcentral describes it as "bacterial SSU rRNA". The record is from RNAcentral. Lineage: Bacteria; Bacillati; Cyanobacteriota; Cyanophyceae; Chroococcales; Microcystaceae.
GCCCCGCCCCAGAUUCUUCCGGGAGCCACCAGGGAGGAAUUUUCCCCAAGGGGGGAAACCCUGAGGGACCAAUCCCGGGUGAAGGAGGAAGCCCUAUGGGUGGUAACUUUUUUUUUCCAGAGAAGAAUUUUGACGGUAUCUGAGGAAUAAGCAUCGGCUAACUCUGUGCCAGCAGCCGCGGUAAGACAGAGGAUGCAAGCGUUAUCCGGAAUGAUUGGGCGUAAAGCGUCUGUAGGUGGCUUAAAAAGUCUYCUGUCAAAGAUCAGGGCUUAACCCUGGGCCGGCAGGAGAAACUCUUAGGCUMGAGUUUGGUAGGGGCAGAGGGAAUUCCCGGUGGAGCGGUGAAAUGCGUAGAGAUCGGGAGGAACACCAAAGGCGAAAGCACUCUGCUGGGCCACAACUGACACUGAGAGACGAAAGCGAGGGGAGCAAAAGGGAUUAGAUACCCCUGUAGUCCUCGCCGUAAACGAUGGAUACUAGAUGUUGGAUAGGUUAAAGCAUUCAGUAUCGUAGCU